GACGAACGCUGGCGGCGUGCUUAACACAUGCAAGUCGAACGCUGAAGCACCAGCUUGCUGGUGUGGAUGAGUGGCGAACGGGUGAGUAAUACGUGAGUAACCUGCCCUUGACUCUGGGAUAAGCCCGGGAAACUGGGUCUAAUACUGGAUGCUACAUGUCACCGCAUGGUGGUGUGUGGAAAGGGUUUACUGGUCUUGGAUGGGCUCACGGCCUAUCAGCUUGUUGGUGAGGUAAUGGCUCACCAAGGCGACGACGGGUAGCCGGCCUGAGAGGGUGACCGGCCACACUGGGACUGAGACACGGCCCAGACGCCUACGGGAGGCAGCAGGGGGGAAUAUUGCACAAUGGGCGAAAGCCUGAUGCAGCGACGCCGCGGGAGGGAUGACGGCCUUCGGGUUGUAAACCUCUUUCAGCAGGGAAGAAGCCACAAGUGACGGUACCUGCAGAAGAAGCGCCGGCUAACUACGUG
Molecule: ribosomal RNA, 470 nt
Filed under: uncultured bacterium
Lineage: Bacteria
Description: partial 16S ribosomal RNA
Rfam family: Bacterial small subunit ribosomal RNA
Source: RNAcentral